Magallana angulata is the source of this 5887-nucleotide long non-coding RNA. RefSeq lists it as uncharacterized. NCBI's taxonomy places the organism in Eukaryota, Metazoa, Mollusca, Bivalvia, Ostreida, Ostreidae. The record is from RefSeq and is a predicted model, not a curated record. The transcript is spliced from 4 exons.
AGAAAGAUGUGAUAUAUUAUAGUUUCAUUAUUUAUUCAAUUCUAAGAAACAUGUAAAUUCAUUGACAACAACUAAGGUCUCAGACAUCAUGAUUAAAUGCUCAUUAUUUGACGCUUAAUUUCUUCAUUGUUCAAUUCAUAUUUUAAAAAAAUUACAUAAUUUAUCAGUGAAUAAUCAGUCUUUGCAGAUGAUACAUUAUGGCUGUUUUAUAUUGUAAAAAUCUUGUAAACUAAACUGAAAAAGUGAAAUAAUUUAAAAAUUUGCAUAUUUCUUUGGAAAAAAGAUUUAGUAUACGUUGAUUUCCGACUUGUUUGAAGUAUAUCAAGUUUAUUAAAGACGUGGUCGGUUGUCAGUCUAUCAUAGAAGCAUAAAUACACACAAGACGAAGUGUGUCUGUUCCUGGGAGAACGACAGAGAAAAUGUUCCGAGCACAUUCGGUUGAAAUUUGGACCCCGUCGAGUUUAGAACCUUUGCGGUUUCUUUGUAAAAGGCAUUACUGUUGUACACAUUUGAAAGCGAUUCAUUCUAAGAAGUUACGAAUCCGUUACGUAAAUAUUCCUUUGAGAACUUCCAACAAUGCAUUUAUGAUAGCUGUUUAAACUCAGACAACUACCGUUACUACACUCCGAGUUUCGAGGAGUCCGCCAUUGUUUAUGAGGUGUCAUGUCGAUUCGCCUCCGUUACAAGAACACACUGAACUUUAAUUUGUCAAUUAAUUUAAUGUUAAGCAAUAAUGAAAAUAUUACUUUAAAACAUUAAUGCAAAAUUAUAGAAAUAAAUUAUGAAAGAAUAUUUAAUUGAGUGUAAAUUAUAUUUUUUAAGUUCCAAAACCUUGAGGGUUCAAGAACGGAGGGGGUUGAAAUUUUACAGACACAACUUGUGUAAACCGAACGAUAUUAAAUCGUACGUUUCUUCAAUCUCUGAAAAUAUAAUAAUGAAAACUAAAGCAUUUUAUAAUUAGUUUCAUUUAAAGAUAUUUUUUGAUUAUUAUUAACAUAUGUUAAAAAAAAUUAUUUAACCAAAUGAAAGAGUCUCAGAAUACACAGUCAGCGAGUUGUUUUGAUUCUAUUACGUCACUUCCGCCCAGUGAUUACACAUUUUGAAUGAAAGCAGAUGGAUCUUCAACAUGAGCAAUGGAUAAAUUAAGCAUGGAACAUUCAAGAAGAUAAUGCAGCAGAUGUAGUUCAAAAAUUAUGCAGUGAAACCAGAAUAUUGGACAGCCCUAAAGAUAGUGAUCAUGGAACAUAAAUUUCAUACAGAGGUACAACUCUUCUGCCACCAAAGGGGCUAUAUGUGAAGCCUGAAGAAUUGCCACCAAGAAGUAUUGUCACCAAGACACUCUGGGUUUGUAGAAAAUAAUCAUUUAAAGGAUGGAGCAUUUUACCUACUAUGCAGUAAAUGCACAUUGCAAUAUAUGGAAUACAAGUGAAAUCAACAUGAGCAAAGGCAAAGAAGAUGCAACAAAGGAAGAUUCAUUAAGAACAUAUUGACAUAUUGAUAGUUAUCAACUAGUUAUCAUAUUCUGAUGUCGCUUAUAUUUCAAAUCAUUGCAUAUUGGUAUGUCAAUUCUAAUAUUGUAACAUUCCUUUUAAGCUAAUGAGUUAGUAUUGAUAUCAUUACCUGUUGUUUUUUAAAACAAUUUUAUUAAACAUGCUGAUUAUUUAAAGUGAUAGUCAGUACAUAAGAAUUAUGUGAUACUUAAGAUAUUGUCUCAUUAUUCUUCAAUUUAUUAUAAUAAAGUAUUUUAUAUUUGAUUUUUUAGGAGAUUUUACCCUUUUUAUAUACAAAAUGUAGAAGGUAAGAAUUUUCAUGAAUAGUUCAUGAAUUUUAUUUAUGAAUUAUUCAUGAAUAAAAUUCAUAAUGAUAUUCAUGAACUGUUCAUGAAGAUUCAUUAAACUUAUUCAUGAACAGUUCAUGAAGAUCCGAUGAACUUAUUAUUGGACAUUCAUCAAAUGAUGAAGCUUCAUGAAUAUAACUGUUCAUGAAUUAUUCAUGAAAAAGUAUGUUCAUGAAUAUUCAUCAACAUUUUUUCAUGAACAAAAAUUCAUGACUUUAAAAUGUCCAAUAAUAAGUUCAUGGGAUCCUCAUGAACUUUUCAUGAACAUUUCAUGAAUAUAAUUCAUGAAUCAUUCAAGGGAAAAUCAUGAAUUGUUCAUGAUCAUCUCGCAGGGGUCCUUUUGAGGGGUUUUAAUUAUUGUUAUUUAGCAUAUUUUUACCAAAGGGUUUGUUGUUUCACGGGGAGGGGGACACAUGUCUACAGACGGAAAUACAUUCCAAAAAACGAAUUUUGCUUUGUUAAUUUUCGAAAAAAAAUUAACAGAUAUGAAUUAAAAUGAAAUUUUACUUUAAUAAAUAUCGUAAAUAUGUUAUUAUUAAGUUUUUAUGCACAUAUUGGCCGCUAAAUAAUAUUUUCCUCACUCAUGGAGACCAAUUUCAAUGAAAUUUUUUAAGACCCCGCGUUAGCAAAACUUUUGUUUAAAAAUAAAUAAUUUGAUUACAAAUUUUAUUUUGAUAUAAAUUGAUUAGGAUUUGAUUAUACCUUUUUAGUAGAAAACUUAAGUAGAAAUUCCCAAAUAUUUGGAUGUAAAAUGUAGGCGGGAAACGGGCGUUAGCGUUCGCAGUUCUUAUUUGUGUUCCAAGAAACUAUUCAGUAUUGCGAUAAUUACUGUUUGAUUGUUUAAUGAUCUUCAUAUGAGAGAGAGAGAGAAUACCAAUAUGAGUUUAAUUUUAAGUACUACAUUUUACUUGUAAUUCAGUGUAAUAAGUUAGAUUUAUAGUUUCCAUUAUACUGAACCCUUUUCCCUAAAAUUGCAAUAGAAUCUAUGCAGUCAGAGUCCAUGUGCUAUCCCUGUCAAUCAAAUCAGCCCGCGAGAAAGACCACGUGCUCCUUCCAUGAUAAGGAAAAAAUGUCGUUGUAUUGUUUUUUUAAGUCCGCAAAAUAGAAAUAUAUUUAACAAUGAAGAUUUAGUGUUUGAAAUGUUUAGUUUCUUCUUUCUUAUAAUGCAUGUAUGAGGGUUGGAAUAUUGCGUUGUAAAAUCUCUCUCUCUCUCUCUAAGUGUGUACCCUUGUGCAAUCAUUUUAGAAUUACUAGAUACGACCUCGUUACGAGUAGGUCUUCCGUCCAAUUUUUUUUAUAGUUUAAAUGAUACCAUGAAAUAUCGAUACAAUUUCAAAAUUACCCCCCCCCCCCCCCCAAAUUUGAAGAUAAAGAAUAAAAAACCUUAAUUACGUCAAACAUGGGCCUAACGAUGACCUUUUCAAACCGAUAAUGUAGAGAUCAACAACUUUGAUUUUAUAAUGCAUAACAAAAUAUUUAUCGUUUUCAAGUUAUUCGUAAUAGACUUUACGAGUCUCUUGGUCCCUAAUUAAAGGAACCAGCCCCUUUUUCUUGAUUUUAUUGGAUAGAACUUUUGAUUCUCUACUACUUUUGUUCUAUAUGUCUUAACAAAAUAUCAACUGAUAAAAAGAUACUGAUCAAAACAUAUGAACAUUUUGAUUCGAAAUCUGUACCCCAUUUUCGUGCCUAAGCGAGCUCCAAGGAAUAGCGCCACUGGUGCAAAACAACUAAAUAGUUCACAACUUCAAACCAUGCUCUACCUAUCCUGAAAAUUUCAAAGUCAUAUCUCUUAUAGUUUCUGAGAUCAGCUCUGCACAAAAUUGGUCGUAAAAAAUUAAAAAAUCGACCGUAAAUCCGGACCGGAAGUGACGACGAGAAAAAAUUCAAAAACAUAUAAAAUUCAGAUAAUGUCCCAUCAUCUGUGAAAAAAUUGUUGAGAUCGGUUGAGGAGUUUUAGAGAAAUCGCGUGCACAAAAUUUGGAAAAAAAAAAAUAAUAAACAGUACGAAAACAAUAAGGUCUUCCGUUGGAAACGGAAGACCUUAAUAAGAGUUCUGUUUGUAUGAAUUUAAUUUACCGGUAUUUAUUUUAGAUCUAUGGUUUUUUAAAAGAAUGAUUUCAACACAAUGACUAAAAGUUUGUAAAGUACACGAUGUAAUAAGAUUUUUCGUUAAAAUUUCGACGCUAUUUCACAUCACACAUAUUAGAUUGGAUAAAGUAAAUAACGAUGUGUUUGCUCUAAAUGCUUGCAAAAAGCAUUCAUCUUUUUUAUCAACCGGGUUUUUUUGGUACAUACAUGUAUGUGUACCCGGUAAAUAAUUUCUUAUCGCAAGUUAAUACCUUGUGAAAUUCCCGCAUUUAUAGAGUUGCUGAAUUGUUCUCCUGAUCCACGCGUCGAUAAUCUUACGUGUAGUUGUUGGUGUACAUAUCUACAGACAUUUUUUUUUGUUUGAUAGAGAUAGAGAAAUCAUGGAAUUACAAAGUAGAAGUAAGAUAUAUUCAGACCAUACACACGACGGGUUGUGAUGAGUUACCAAACAGGUGUCCGUGGAAAGGUGUGAAUAAGGGCAUCUCGAGUACACCUGUUCAGACGUCCAAAUAUAUACACAGUUAGUUGUAAAUUACAAUGACACCUAACAAGACAGACAAUAACACCUGUUGUGUAUAGACCCCAAGAUAAAAGACAAUGUUGUGUAUCUGAUCAGCUUCCGUACAUCGCACGAGUGAUUUUUUCAUGUGAAAUCGUGAGGCCAUUACCAGCUAUACGGAAAUAAAGUUGACAAGAAUAGAAUUCCUGGGUCCCCCGCAGGUCAAGCAGUAUACUAGUAUCGAGCAAGGCUGAUUUUCGAACUUGACCAAGGUAAUAGUGGAAUAAACAUUUGGUAUAAAUUUCAUGUAAAUCCGUCAAAAUUUGUAGGCAUGAGAGCGCUUACAAGGUCAAUUUUUGGAUAAAACGUCAAUAUUGUGGUCAAAGUCCCAUAACUCCAACAAAAAGUAUCGACAAAUGCUGAUUUUCGAACUUGACCAAGGUAAUAGUGGUAUAAACAUUUGGUAUAAAUUUAAUGAAAAUCUGAGAGCGCUUACAAAAAAGUGUGACGGACGGACACACGGACACACGGACGCACGGACACACAGACCCACUUUGCGUGGUGCGGCGGGGGACAAAAACUGUCCCAUGCCACCUUAACGCAAUAGCCAUCCUAGAUGCCACUUGUCCACUGCUCUGAAAGAUUUAGUAUAAAGUCCAGGUGAAUUUCCAAAUGCACCUUUCUGACCAUAUUUCUUGAUAAGUAGUGACUCUACAGAGUCAUCUAAAGAGGGCACAUUCAAGAAGUCCUUACUGUCUUUAUUGACUGGAAACAAAGUCUUGUAACUGUCUUUAUAUGCUGUAAGUUUGGAGAGAGUAUCCGUCCUCUAUGAUUUAUUGAUAAUUUCCUUCCAACUUAACUCCAGACACAAACAACAUCUGUAUUUUUUGUCGAAGAAGCAUCAGAUCCAAAAAUUCCAGUUAGUUUACUUUCAGUGUUUUCAUUAUUUUCCACAGGUUUUGUCUCAUAGUAUUUGGAAAAACGAUCUUUUUCCUCUCCAAAAUUAUUGUCUUGAACAUCUGAUCUCGGACUCUGACAAGUUCCUCUACUGAAUACAUGACUUUCUUGUUCUGGUGGUAAGUAAAGCCGAAAGCAAUGAAAUUAUCUUAUCUCUAAGGAGACAAACCCUACCAUCUUGGAGGCAACUAUUGCCAAGGCAACCAGCCAGAUGGUUAUUGCCACUAAUUUCAUUUGCCACCACUUGCAUUCUUCCUAGGCCUUCGACAUUAGAUGCUAGAUUCCCCUCGAUGGUGAAUGCUGCUCCUUCAACAGUGGAUAAUUCUUACCCAGUGACUGAUCCUUCCUCAUUAGUAGAGCUGUCCUCCUGCUCAUUGGUAGAGCUAUCUUCUUGCUCAUUGGUGGAGCUGUAUUCUCGCUUGUUGUAAGAGCGUUGUCUUUCAAUGGAAUUCACAACAGUAGCAACAAAUACUGACAACAUCAAGAAAAUAUCCUUUUCUGAUUUU